UGCUGCAAUAGGUUGCACAGGUGAAGGAGUUCUAAGGGGCCUGUCAGAAAGGCUAGGAGCCACCCGGAGGAAUCUCCUCAGCAAUAACCUGGGAAAAGGGGCCCAGAAAGAUGCAACUGCAGUGAGAGAGGAGUGUGCAGCUCCAUGACAGAUACUGGCAAACAGGCAAAGGUGGCUUCUCCAGGGUGGCAUUGACGUCCUGCUGCUGGGCCUGCAAUGGGGCUAAGACACUCCAUCCUGCUGCUGGAAAACUUCUACAUCCAUAGCUGAGCACCUUAUGGCCCCCAUUCCUGUAGGGAAAUGCCACUAUUUACCUUGGAGCAAGAACUAAAAGGCCAGAGCUCGUUCCCACUGACGUCCUUGUCAAAACAUCUCCAUGACUUCUAUGUCAGCAAGGCUGGGCUCAUCAAAACUCUUUCCAAAGACAAAUUUCACUCAACAAGACUGUUGGAACAAUAAACAGCUGUCAGAUGUUCUGCAUACUGAGGUCUUCCCAACUGUAAUUCUCAUUAAGUCAAUAGACUCCGAAAGGCACGGAUGCGUUGAGAUGUAAGUAACUCGCUGUGCAAAGACGCAAACACACGCAGGGUGAAAAGGGAAUAGUUAAUUCAGGCUGCCCUGUAAUUCAGAGACAAUUUGUAACGUGUACACCCCAUUCCUGCGUGUUUCUCAGGCCGCAUUCAAACUGGUGCCUGUUUGGACCUGAAUUUGAGUUUAAUGAAGAAAGAGAAGGCAAGGUUUUGUGAAGAAGAGAAGAAGGGGGCUUGAGGCGUAGAGCUAUGAGAAGAAUCGUACAGCGGUCUAUGAAAGAGCUGGGAUAAGGUUUCAGCACCACAGACCAUGGCAUCGCCUCAGGAUCAGCAAGCCACAGGAGACCAAUCGGUUCUGCAGGGAGAAAAAACCCUGACAGCACACGUGACGUUCCCAUCUUCAUAAUGUGACAUGCUGGAGAAUGCUCUGGGAAAGAUAAAUGACUUGGCUUUUGAGGCUGUUCCUCUUAAAAUAACUAAAACCAGUUUAUGGAGAGUAAAAAAGUGGCACUGAGGUUACAGGAAAAUUCCUCAAAGAUGAUUAUUCUGCAUAAAAGAUAAGGGGCAGUUUCUCUCUCCUUUCAGAGCUUGAAUCUUUGAUUGCCCUGUAUUCAGAGCUCUAAUCAGCAGUAGACAUUUCUCCCCCUCCCCCCUGCCUUUUUAUUGCCCCUUAUUUAUAUUGCAACCCUAUAAUACAUUAAUUGUGAUGCCCCCAUGAAAGCAAUCCCGCUUCCAAAACAAACCACCCCACAGGGGCCUGAAAGCAGCAUAUGUGGGCUACACAUUGCGGAUUUAUUGCUACAGAAUGAUUUUACCAGCAGAACUUGAUGCAAGAAAAGAAAACCCCACACGCACGUCAAAGAAAAGCGUUAAGGAUUUAAAACUCAAAGCUCCCUUAGCUUAACAGAGGAAAGGUUAAGGAAUGACUUGAUUACAUCAGUUUGUUACAGGGAGGUUAAUUAACUACUGGAACAAUUUACCAAGGGUCAUGGUGGAUUCUCCAUCA
Molecule: long non-coding RNA, 1536 nt
Organism: Chelonia mydas (Green sea turtle)
Lineage: Eukaryota; Metazoa; Chordata; Testudines; Cheloniidae
Exons: 5
Source: RefSeq, a predicted model, not a curated record